CUACAUGGGCACUCAACUAAUACGAUAGA
This 29-nucleotide small RNA is filed under the name Bombyx mori (domestic silkworm). RNAcentral's name for it is "ovarian small RNA-4926". Lineage: Eukaryota; Metazoa; Arthropoda; Insecta; Lepidoptera; Bombycidae. The record is from RNAcentral.